Long non-coding RNA from Mesocricetus auratus (golden hamster), 2185 nucleotides. RefSeq lists it as uncharacterized. The record is from RefSeq and is a predicted model, not a curated record. NCBI's taxonomy places the organism in Eukaryota, Metazoa, Chordata, Mammalia, Rodentia, Cricetidae. The transcript has 2 exons.
GAGCAGGCCGAUCCUGGGAGCCGUGGGACGCAAAGAGACAAAGGGGAGAAGGGUUUUCCAGGAGGGCCGCUGGUUAGGCAGAAGGUGGGCUUGAGUGGACAGCUUUUGUUUCGGGAGAGGGGAGCUCCCUGGUCCCAGGGCGCCCCUUUUCAGAAUCUCAGUCAAAGGCUCUUUUGUCCUCCUCUGCUCCUCGCGCUGAAGGGCCAGGUGCAGACUCUGUUCCCAAGGGAACCGGAGCUUGGUGCCCGUGGAGGUUGGCAGCCCUGGAUGCUGAGCCUGGCUGCCUGCUAUGGCCUCAAACCCUGGACCACAUCAGAGGGAGAGAGAAACAGGCAGGUGAGGGACCGAGAGCAGGGGGUUUGGGGGAGCUGAGGUUCUACCCGCCUGGACCUCAGCGGUGAUCCUCACAGCCUGCUCUCCCUUGUCUCCAUGCCCGCGGUCCUUUUCCCGGCUGAGCCCUGCACACCACACACAACCAGUGCUUCCAAGUCCUUCCCUGUUUGACCCUCCAGGUGUAAACAUUUCCGUAACAAAUCACACAGCGUGGUGUUCUAGGUAGUGAAACGAGGGGUCAGGGUGUAUCAGAGCCAUCUGUGGGUUCGAACCCUAGAGCACGGGAAAGAACCGGCAUCCCUGUUUGCUGAGAUGCUUCUCCGGAGAUGCUGAUCCGCCGGUGCCUGAAGAGUUGCGGGAGGAUGAAGGAUGGACUAUCGUGAGAGCCUCUGGAUUCUGAAGCAGGAUCAUGCCCAUCAUAUGCAUAGGAAUAAUUACCCAGGAAGAGACUGUGUGCUGACAGUGGGUCACCAUUGCCAACAGCUUGAGCUGACCACUGUGAACCAGCUCUGUCUGACUCACCAAGGUAAAACUGGGCACACAUCAUCAAAUGGAAACACACACACACACACACACACACACACAGUCAUUUCAGAGGAACUGACAGAGAAGGAGAAGACUCGGGCCUUGUUUGUAGGUACACGAUGUGUACCAUCAGAAACCAGGCAGCUGCAGCUUCUUGCUGGGACUACAGAAUGUUCAAGACCAUGGUGUCAACAAUGGCUUAGUUUCUAGUUAGUUCCUUCUGUAUUAAAACAUGAAGGGUACCGUGUGGUAAAAUAUUUCACCUCUCUAAUUGGCGGUGUGAACCUGGCGGGGGGGGGAGCAGGGUCUAAAAAUAAGGCUGGCUAAAGUCUCAGGCAAUAGCCGACUUUAUUCAGAAUAUCAGACGAUGUAUACUCCGAGGGUUAAGAAGUCACCUGAGUUAAGUGUGCAGUCACAAGGACAGGACGCAUGUGACAGAAGCACGUCUCUCCGCAGAGGCGCAUGGACAGCAGCAGCAGCUGAAGUAAACUCACUUCCGUCCCCUACACCUGGGAGAGACAGGAAAGCACAUUCCAAGAGCAACGCAUGCUAUGAGGAAACAGAGGUCACGAGACUCUGGUCUGGUUUACUGGAGUUUGCUCACACUCAGAAUUCCUCUUGCAGGACUCCAUUCUUGGACUGUGUUAAGACAGCAAGACAUCGUAAACAAGCCAGAGAGAGCCCACCGCAACAGAACUGCUGCCAUAGCAACUCAUUAACCUAUGAACCCCCUCAACAUUCAUGACCCAGUCGAUCUCAAGGGUUCUACUCCCCAACUCUCCUGCACAUGAACUUUAGGGGCACAGGUUCAAAUCACAGCACCUCCCAUAACCCCUAUUUACCCCCAUUGGGUUCCUUUGGUACCCUGAGGGCAGAAGUUUUGAGAGGCGGUAAAAAGACAAUGUGUGAACCUUAGGAUGAAGAGUUAUCUCACAGCAGUGACUGAGGCAGAGCAAACUGUCAGUGUUUGGGAGAAAGACCAGCCCAUGAGAAUGUAUGGAAAUGCACAAAAGGCAAUCUUCUGAAGAGGGUGUGUGGAAACUUACCUACAUAUAAGAUUUAAUUGGGAGGUUAAGAGAAAAUAAAGAAAACAAAUGUAGGGAUGUACACUGUUUUGAAACCUUGAAGCUCACUCCCAAUGACAAACCUCCAAUAAGGCCACACCUCCUAGUCCUUCUCAAACAGUUCCAUUCCCUGGAGUCAAAUACACGAGCCUACGGAGCUCCGUCCUCAUUAAAACCUCCUCAACGUGUUUUGGUAGACAUGAUGCAUUAAUAAACUUGAUAAUCUAAAUUAAUUUAUGUAUAUUAAAGAAUCAGCCAUUUUU